RNAcentral lists this ribosomal RNA (492 nucleotides) under uncultured bacterium. RNAcentral describes it as "partial 16S ribosomal RNA". It matches the Rfam family "Bacterial small subunit ribosomal RNA", at positions 29 to 507 of the family's 1533-position model. The record is from RNAcentral.
AGUGAACGCUGGCGGUAGGCCUAACACAUGCGAGUCGAACGGCAGCACAGUAAGAGCUUGCUCUUACGGGUGGCGAGUGGCGGACGGGUGAGGAAUACGUCGGAAUCUACUUUUUCGUGGGGGAUAACGUAGGGAAACUUACGCUAGUACCGCAUACGACCUACGGGUGAAAGCAGGGGAUCUUCGGACCUUGCGCGAUUGAAUGAGCCGAUGUCGGAUUAGCUAGUUGGCGGGGUAAAGGCCCACCAAGGCGACGAUCCGUAGCUGGUCUGAGAGGAUGAUCAGCCACACUGGAACUGAGACACGGUCCAGACUCCUACGGGAGGCAGCAGUGGGGAAUAUUGGACAAUGGGCGCAAGCCUGAUCCAGCCAUACCGCGUGGGUGAAGAAGGCCUUCGGGUUGUAAAGCCCUUUUGUUGGGAAAGAAAAGCAGCAGGUUAAUACCCCGCUGUUCUGACGGUACCCAAAGAAUAAGCACCGGCUAACUUCGUG